AUGCCCACCGUCACCUUCAUGUCACUCUACCUCAACUAUCUCACCGGCAGCUUCCCGGAGUUUGUCCUCGAGAGCAGUAACGUCACCUACCUCGACCUGUCGCAGAACAAUGUCUCCGGACCGAUACCGGAAUCGCUGCCAGAGAAGCUCCCCAACCUCAAGUACCUCAACUUAUCCGUCAAUGCCUUCUCCGGCCAGAUACCAGCGUCUCUGUCCAAGCUGGGGAAGCUCCGGGACCUACGGAUUGUAGCCAAUAACCUGACAGGUGGCAUCCCUGAUUUCCUUGGGUCCAUGUUCCAGCUGAGAGUUCUUGAACUCGGUGUCAACCCGCUCGGCGGGGCGAUCCCUCCGGUUCUUGGACGGCUCCAGAUGCUGCAACGCCUAGACCUGAAGUUUGCCGGGCUGGUUUCCACUAUUCCACAAGAGCUGGGAAACCUUAGCAAUCUCAAUUUCUUGGAACUGUCUAUGAAUCAGCUCACCGGUGUCUUGCCCAUGGCGUUGGUCGGGAUGCACAAAAUGCGGGAGUUUGGCAUAGAGUUUAACAAAUUCAUUGGUCAAAUUCCGCUGGCUUUGUUCACGAGCUGGCCAGAGCUUAUAGCGUUCCAAGCGCAGGAAAACUCAUUCACUGGGAAGAUUCCGCAAGAGCUAGGCAAGGCAAGCAAGCUAAAAUUAAUCUAUCUCUUCGGGAACAACCUUACCGGCUCUAUUCCGGUAGAGCUUGGCGAGUUGGUGAGCCUGAGCGAGUUGGACUUGUCCGUCAACUCGCUCACAGGGCCUAUACCCAGCUCGUUCGGCAAUCUCACGCAGCUCACGAGGCUGGCGCUCUUCUUCAACCUGCUCACUGGAAUGAUCCCACCGGAGAUCGGCAACAUGACGGCGUUGCAAGUCUUGGAUGUCAACACCAACCAUUUUAAAGGUGAGCUGCCCACGACCAUCACAUCACUCAGGAAUCUCCACUACCUCGCCCUGUUCGACAACAACUUCAGCGGCACCGUACCACCGGAUCUCGGGAAGGGGCUGCGCUUGACAGACGUGAGCUUUGCGAAUAAUAGCUUCUCUGGCGAACUACCGCAAAGGUUGUGUGACGGCCUUGUGCUACAGAACUUCACAGCAAACCACAACAACUUCAGCGGCCCGCUGCCGCCAUGCCUCAAGAACUGCACAGGCCUAUUCCAUGUGAGAUUGGACCUGAACCAAUUCACCGGCGACAUCUCCCAGGUGUUCGGUGUCCAUCCCAUCUUGGAUUUCGUGGAUGUCUCGGGGAAUCAGCUGACAGGGCAGUUGUCGACUGAUUGGUCACAGUGCACCAGUCUAACAAUUCUAUCCAUGAACAACAAUCGCCUGUCUGGAAACAUCUCUUCAGCCUUGUGUGGAUUGACCUUGCUCCAGUUACUGGAUCUAUCAAAUAACCACUUCACUGGUGAGCUCCCAAGUUGCUGGUGGAAACUACAAGCACUGGUAUUUAUGGAUGUGUCCAACAAUGGGUUUUGGGGUAAAUUUCCUGCCUCGACAAGCUUGAGUGAGUUCCCUCUCCAAUCACUUAAUCUUGCUAACAAUAGCUUCUCUGGGGAUUUCCCAUCUGUCAUUGAAACUUGUUGCAGUAAGCUCAAUACACUGAAUCUUGGGAACAACAUGUUCCUCGGCGCUAUUCCUGCUUGGAUUGGAAAAAGUGUUCCUCUUCUACGAGUUUUGAGCUUCCCGUCCAACAAUUUCAGUGGUGUCGUUCCGUCCGAGAUAUCGCAGCUUUCUAAUCUGCAAGUACUUGACAUGUCCAACAACAGCUUUACUGGAUCUAUCCCAAGUACAUUCGGCAACUUAUCAUCCAUGAUGGAACAACUCUCGUCUUGGACAACAACAUCUUCUGAAAGCCAUGGAGAGUUUCCUUCUCCCAUUUUCUUGAUAAGUUUGAGCCGGAUUUCUAUUUUCUCUAGAAGGACUAUGCCACCUGAUAAUUUGUCAUCAGUGAACGAGUACCGAGAGAGACUUAAGAUUUUCUGGAAGGGCCGUCAGCAAACUUUUCAGAAAACAAUCGAGCUAAUGACAUGCAUUGAUUUAUCAAGCAACCAACUUGCUGGGGACAUCCCUGAGGAGCUAACAUACCUUCAGGGCAAUAUUCCAGCAAGCAUUGGCAGUUUGGAGCUCCUGGAGUUCCUUGACCUCUCAUGGAAUGAACUUUCAGGAGCUCUGUUUUUCCUCGAGCCAUGGCGGUCUUCCUUCUCCCAUUUUCUUGAUAACUUGUGCAUCAAGUAA
Molecule: ribosomal RNA, 2250 nt
Filed under: Triticum aestivum (bread wheat)
Lineage: Eukaryota; Viridiplantae; Streptophyta; Magnoliopsida; Poales; Poaceae
Description: partial small subunit ribosomal RNA
Source: RNAcentral